Fundulus heteroclitus (mummichog) is the source of this 115-nucleotide long non-coding RNA. RefSeq lists it as uncharacterized. Lineage: Eukaryota; Metazoa; Chordata; Actinopteri; Cyprinodontiformes; Fundulidae. The transcript has 3 exons. The record is from RefSeq and is a predicted model, not a curated record.
CCAUUAUAUGCAAGACGGGCACGAGAGGUGCUGUUGCUGCUGUGAAGAGCCUAUAUGUGACCAGUACAUAUCCUGUUCCACGCAGAUUAAACGCAUCAUUCCACAUCUUCCGUCU